CCUACGGGUGGCAGCAGUGAGGAAUAUUGGUCAAUGGUCGGGAGACUGAACCAGCCAAGCCGCGUGAGGGAGGAAGGUACAGAGUAUCGUAAACCUCUUUUGUCAGGGAACAAAGACUGGGACGCGUCCCCGGAUGAGUGUACCUGAAGAAAAAGCAUCGGCUAACUCCGUGCCAGCAGCCGCGGUAAUACGGAGGAUGCGAGCGUUAUCCGGAUUUAUUGGGUUUAAAGGGUGCUCAGGCGUUCUGUUAAGUCAGCGGGCAAAGCCCGGGGCUCAACCCCGGCCCGCCGUUGAAACUGGCAGUCUCGAGUUGGAGAGAAGUAUGCGGAAUGCGCGGUGUAGCGGUGAAAUGCAUAGAUAUCGCGCAGAACUCCGAUUGCGAAGGCAGCAUGCCGGCUCCACACUGACGCUGAGGCACGAAAGCGUGGGUAUCGAACAGGAUUAGAUACCCGGGUAGUC
Molecule: ribosomal RNA, 459 nt
Filed under: uncultured bacterium
Lineage: Bacteria
Description: partial 16S ribosomal RNA
Rfam family: Bacterial small subunit ribosomal RNA
Source: RNAcentral